This 368-nucleotide ribosomal RNA is filed under the name uncultured organism. Its description in RNAcentral is "bacterial SSU rRNA". It matches the Rfam family "Bacterial small subunit ribosomal RNA", at positions 526 to 896 of the family's 1533-position model. The record is from RNAcentral.
CGGAGGGUGCAAGCGUUAUCCGGAUUCACUGGGUUUAAAGGGUGCGUAGGUGGGCUAGUAAGUCCGUGGUGAAAUCUCCAAGCUUAACUUGGAAACUGCCGUGGAUACUAUUAGUCUUGAAUAUUGUGGAGGUAAGCGGAAUAUGUCAUGUAGCGGUGAAAUGCUUAGAUAUGACAUAGAACACCGAUAGCGAAGGCAGCUUGCUACACAAUUAUUGACACUGAGGCACGAAAGCGUGGGGAUCAAACAGGAUUAGAUACCCUGGUAGUCCACGCCCUAAACGAUGGAUACUCGACAUACGCGAUACACAGUGUGUGUCUGAGCGAAAGCAUUAAGUAUCCCACCUGGGAAGUACGACCGCAAGGUUG